GGAUUAGAUACCCUGGUAGUCUACGCCGUAAACGAUGGUCACUAGCUGUCCGGCCUAAUUGAGGGCUGGGUGGCCAAGCGAAAGUGAUAAGUGACCCACCUGGGGAGUACGUUCGCAAGAAUGAAACUCAAAGGAAUUGACGGGGGCCCGCACAAGCGGUGGAGCAUGUGGUUUAAUUCGAUGAUACGCGAGGAACCUUACCAGGGCUUAAAUGCAGUCUGACAGGGGUGGAAACACCCCCUUCUUCGGACAGAUUGCAAGGUGCUGCAUGGUUGUCGUCAGCUCGUGCCG
RNAcentral lists this ribosomal RNA (291 nucleotides) under uncultured bacterium. RNAcentral's name for it is "partial 16S ribosomal RNA". It matches the Rfam family "Bacterial small subunit ribosomal RNA", at positions 775 to 1067 of the family's 1533-position model. The record is from RNAcentral.